AUUGAACGCUGGCGGCAGGCCUAACACAUGCAAGUCGAGCGGAUGAAGGGAGCUUGCUCCUGGAUUCAGCGGCGGACGGGUGAGUAAUGCCUAGGAAUCUGCCUGGUAGUGGGGGAUAACGUCCGGAAACGGGCGCUAAUACCGCAUACGUCCUGAGGGAGAAAGUGGGGGAUCUUCGGACCUCACGCUAUCAGAUGAGCCUAGGUCGGAUUAGCUAGUUGGUGGGGUAAAGGCCUACCAAGGCGACGAUCCGUAACUGGUCUGAGAGGAUGAUCAGUCACACUGGGACUGAGACACGGUCCAGACUCCUACGGGAGGCAGAAGUGGGGAAUAUUGGACGAUGGGCGAAAGCCUGAUCCAGCCAUGCCGCGUGUGUGAAGAAGGUCUUCGGAUUGUAAAGCACUUUAAGUUGGGAGGAAGGGCAGUAAGUUAAUACCUUGCUGUUUUGACGGUACCAACAGAAUAAGCACCGGCUAACUUCGUG
RNAcentral lists this ribosomal RNA (484 nucleotides) under uncultured bacterium. Its description in RNAcentral is "partial 16S ribosomal RNA". It matches the Rfam family "Bacterial small subunit ribosomal RNA", at positions 30 to 507 of the family's 1533-position model. The record is from RNAcentral.